UGGGGAAUAUUGGACAAUGGGCGCAAGCCUUAUCCAGCCAUGCCUCGUGAGUGAUGAAGGCCCUAGGGUUGUAAAGCUCUUUCACCGGUGAACAUAAUGACGGUAACCGGAGAAGAAGCCCCGGCUAACUUCGUGCCAGCAGCCGCGGUAAUACGAAGGGGGCUAGCGUUGUUCGGAUUUACUGGGCGUAAAGCGCACGUAGGCGGACUUUUAAGUCAGGGGUGAAAUCCCGGGGCUCAACCCCGGAACUGCCUUUGAUACUGGAAGUCUUGAGUAUGGUAGAGGUGAGUGGAAUUCCGAGUGUAGAGGUGAAAUUCGUAGAUAUUCGGAGGAACACCAGUGGCGAAGGCGGCUCACUGGACCAUUACUGACGCUGAGGUGCGAAAGCGUGGGGAGCAAACAGG
Molecule: ribosomal RNA, 404 nt
Filed under: Actinomycetes bacterium
Lineage: Bacteria; Bacillati; Actinomycetota; Actinomycetes
Description: Actinobacteria bacterium partial 16S ribosomal RNA
Rfam family: Bacterial small subunit ribosomal RNA
Source: RNAcentral